GACGAACGCUGGCGGCGUGCUUAACACAUGCAAGUCGAACGGGUCUGCCCUGUUUUUUGCGGGGUGGGUCAGUGGCGAACGGGUGAGUAACACGUGAGUAACCUGCCCCUCACUUCUGGAUAACCGCUUGAAAGGGUGGCUAAUACGGGGUGUUCUGGCUGUGCCGCAUGGUGUGGCUGGGAAAGAUUCACUUUUGUGGUGUUUUGGUGGGGGAUGGGCUCGCGGCCUAUCAGCUUGUUGGUGGGGUGAUGGCCUGCCAAGGCUUUGACGGGUAGCCGGCCUGGGAGGGUGGGCGGUCACACUGGGACUGAGAUGCGGCCCAGACUCCUGCGGGAGGCAGCAGUGGGGGGUAUUGCACAAUGGGCGGAAGCCUGAUGCAGCGACGUCGCGUGAGGGAUGGAGGCCUUCGGGUUGUGAACCUCUUUCGCCGGUGAAGAAGGUCCUGCUCUUUGUGGUGGGGUUGACGGUAGCCGGGUUAUGAAGCGCCGGCUAACUACGUG
RNAcentral lists this ribosomal RNA (500 nucleotides) under uncultured bacterium. Its description in RNAcentral is "partial 16S ribosomal RNA". It matches the Rfam family "Bacterial small subunit ribosomal RNA", at positions 28 to 507 of the family's 1533-position model. The record is from RNAcentral.